RNAcentral lists this ribosomal RNA (255 nucleotides) under uncultured bacterium. Its description in RNAcentral is "partial 16S ribosomal RNA". It matches the Rfam family "Bacterial small subunit ribosomal RNA", at positions 524 to 776 of the family's 1533-position model. The record is from RNAcentral.
UACAGAGGUCCCAAGCGUUGUUCGGAUUCACUGGGCGUAAAGGGUGCGUAGGCGGUCGGGUAAGUCUGAUGUGAAAAUCCCCACAGCUUAACUGUGAAACUGCAUUGGAUACUAUCCGGCUCGAGGAAUGGAGGGGAGACUGGAGUACUUGGUGUAGCAGUGAAAUGCGUAGAUAUCAAGUGGAACACCAGUGGCGAAGGCGAGUCUCUGGACAUUUCCUGACGCUGAGGCACGAAAGCCAGGGGAGCAAACGGG